RNAcentral lists this small RNA (4262 nucleotides) under Caenorhabditis elegans. RNAcentral's name for it is "Unclassified non-coding RNA R06B10.11". Lineage: Eukaryota; Metazoa; Nematoda; Chromadorea; Rhabditida; Rhabditidae. The record is from RNAcentral.
GAUGCAAAUCUCAUCCACCUCAUCAAAUGGCAACUACGCGAAUAUCGAACGGAUGACAGUUUCAUGUCCGCCGGAGACUUUCGACGAGACCGUACCUCUUAAACAAAUAAAAAAAGAGCUCACUUUCGUAAUAGAACGGCCUGAAAAACCAGGAGAAGUGAGUUUUUCUUAACUGAAAUUCGGAAAAUUCCAAAAUUUUCCAGACAUCCUCGCAUCACGGCAGCAAACGAAGUUCCGUCUGCUAUGAAGGCGACGAGGAGUACGAUAAUGUGGAUGACGACGUGGCGAUUGCAGAGAAUCGGCACAUUUCUGAAAAUUUGGAGCAUUUUGAAGAGCCCGUGAGCACGAUGAGAGCUCAGAAUUCGGUGAAAUUUGCGGAUAAUAUAGUGGAAAAUCAUCCGGAGACUGAUAGAUUCGGAUUUUUUACGAUACAAAAUAAAUGGUAAGAAUUUUUUUUUUGAAUUUUCAUGUCAAAAUUCGAGUUCAUCACCCCAAAAUUACCCCACUACAAAAGUUUCAGCUCAUUUGGAGCCAAUGUCGUAAGAUCUGGUGUAUUGGGGUACGGUAGUCGGUGUUUGCGUACUUUCGGAGUUACAGUACCCCUCAAAACUUCAAAUUAGAGCUAGAGACUUUAAACAAAAUCGUGGAAGGCCCAAAUGUUACGCUAAAUCCGAAUUUGUUGAUUUUUCUUAUAAAUAAUGUGUGUGAAACCAAAAUUAAAAAAAAAAACAGUUUUUUAAACAAUGAAUUUUGGCGACAAUAUUUAAAUUGGUGACUUUUCAUGUCAAAGUUCGGAUUCAGCACCCCAAAAUUACCCCACCAGCAAAAUUUCAGCUCAUUUGGAGCCAAUGUCGUAAGAUCUGGUGUUCUGGGGUACGGUAGUUGGUGUUUGCGUACUUUCGAAGGUACAGUACCCCUGAAAACUGCAAAUUAGAGCUAGAGAUCUCAAGUAAAAUAGUAAAACCCAAAUUUUACGCUGAAUUCGAGUUUGAAAUUAAAAUUUUCUUAACAUUCAAAAUUUCAGCUCCACGCCGCCAAUAGACUCAAAAAUUCUACGACGACGAGAGAAAAAAUGGAUUCAAAUGCUCGACAACUGGCGGUACUUCAUGGAUGAAAAAUUUGAAUUAGUGAAGAAUCGAUGUCGAAAAGGGAUUCCGCCGAGCCUACGAGGCCGGGCGUGGAAAUAUUUAAGCGGUGCCACGUACCAGAUGGAAGUAUCUUCAAAUCGAUUUGUUUUUGAUGUGAGUUUUUGUUUUUCACAAGUUUCCCGUCAAAAAUUUGUAAAAUUAAUAUCAAAAUCGAAGUUAGCAUAAAAUUUCAGUCUAGAACUAUUUUAAUAGAGUUCUGUAGCUUAAUUUUGAAAUUUCGAAGGAUACUGUAGCCCCGGAAGUACGCAAACACCGACUACCGUACCCCAAUACACCAGAUCUUACGACAUUGGCUCCAAAUGAGCUGAAAUGUUGGUGUUGGGGUAAUUUCGGGGUGCUGAAUCCGAAUCUUGUCAUAAAAAUUUACGAAUUCAAAUAUUUUCGCCGAUUUCCACUGUUCAAAAAACUAUUUUCUAAAAUUUUGGUUUCACAUAAAUUAUUCAUAAGAAAACUUGAUAAAUUCGAGUUCAGCGUAAAAUUUGGGUCUUACACUAUUUUGUUUGAAGUCUCUAGCUCAAUUUUAAAAUUUCGAGGGGUACUGUAAGCCCGAAAAGUACGCAAACACCGACUACCAAACCCCAAUACACCAGAUCUUACGAAAUUGGCUCCAAAUGAGCUGAAAUUUUUGGGCUAGGCUAAUUUUGGCGUGCUGAUUUCAAAUUUCGCAUUAAAAUUUUUGUGAAACUGACAGUUUUCAAGAAAAUCGCACAAAUACUAAUUUCAGUACUGUGUCAAACAAGCCGGUGACCCGAAAUGGAACGACGAUAUACAGAAGGACUUGAGCCGCCAGUUUCCGGAACACGAAAUGUUUGCCAGGGUGGGAAAGUACGGAAAUAAUGGGUGAGUUUGAUUUUAAGGGUCCCGCCACGAAAAGGGGUACUGUAGCAGUGAUUUUAGCUGUGUCAAAAAUUUCCAAAAUGACCGGAACCUAGGCAUGAUUAUACUUUUCUGAAAGCUGAAAAUUUGCUGAUUUCAAAAAAAUUAUUUUGAAACAGAUUAGAGUACUGUAGACCAAAGUACGGUAGUUUUUUUCCAGGAAAAACGACCUUUUCGACUUGCUCAAAGCCUGGACAAUUCUCCAUCCGGAAGAGGGCUACUGUCAAGGACAGGCUCCAAUUGCAGCGGUUCUCCUGAUGCACAUGCCGGUCCGCGACGCCUUCUACUGUUUUGUGCAGAUCUGUCAUAAGUACCUGCCCGGGUACUACAGCAGUGGCCUGGAAGCCGUACAAACCGAUGGGGAUAUACUGACGAAGUUGAUAAAGGACAGGAGUAAACUUACCUACAGACAUUUUGUGAGUUUUCGGAAAAAAUUUGAUUUGAGAAAAAAAAAGCAAAAAAAAAAUUUUUCUCGAAAAAUUCAAAAAAAAAAAAUGUUUCUCUUCACUUCCUUGAAAAUUCAUGUUAAUAUUCGAGUUCUACGCAAAAAUUGGCUUUAAACCUUUUUUAGUUGAGGUUUCUAGCUCAAUUUUUAAAAUUCAAGGAUACUGUAGCUCCAAAUGUACGCAAACACCAACUACACACCAGAUCUUACGACAUUGGCCUGAAACAAGCUAAAAUUUGUGGGUCAGAGUAAUUUUGAGGUGCUGAACUCGAAUUUUGUAUUGAAAACCUGCAAAACCCACUAGUUUUCACGUAAAAAUGUUUUUUUGUAACAUUUUGCAUCUACAGUAACCCGAUAGCUGUUGGGUUUCAAAAAUUUAAAAGUUUAAAUUUGGAUUUACCACCUUAAAUUUACCCUAUCCCGCUUAUGAAUAAGGUGUGUGAAACCGAAAUUUUAGAAAAUAAUUUUUUAAACAGUGAAUUUCGGCGAAAAUAUUUGAAUUCGUAAAUUUUUAUAACAAAAUUCGGAUUCAGCUCCCCGAAAUUACCCUAACACCAAUAUUUCAGCUCAUUUGGAGCCAAUGUCGUAAGAUCUGGUGUAUUAGGGUACGGUACUCCGUGUUUGCGUACUUUUGGGGCUACAGUACCCCUUGAAAUUUCAAAAUCAAGCUAGAGACUUUAAACAAAAUAGUGUAAGACCAAAAUUUUACGCUGAAGUCGAAUUUAUUAAGUUUUCUUAUGAAUGAAUCCCAGAUCCGCAGUGCAUAGCGCUUGAAGAACGGAUCGUCCUUUAAUCCUUUAAUCCUUUUUUUAAUGUGUGUGAAACCAAAAUUUUAAAAAAUAGUUUUUUAGACAGCAAAUUUCGGCGAAAAUAUUUGAAUUCGUAAAAUUUUAUGACAAAAUUCGGAUUCAGCACCCCAAAAUUAACCUAACACAAACAUUUCAGCUCAUUUCGAGCCAAUGUCGUAAGGUAUGGUGUAUUGGGGUACGGUAGUCGGUGAUUGCGUACUUUUGGGGCUACAGUACCCCUUGAAAUUUCAAAAUCAAGCUAGAGACUUUAAACAAAAUAGUGUAAGACCAAAAUUUUACGCUGAAGUCGAAUUUAUUAAGUUUUCUUAUGAAUAAUGUGUGUGAAACCAAACUUUUAGAAAAUAGUUUUUUAGACAGCAAAUUUCGGCGAAAAUAUUUGAAUUCGUAAAUUUUUAUGACAAAAUUCGGAUUCAGCACCCCAAAAUUAACCUAAUACAAACAUUUCAGCUCAUUUCGAGCCAAUGUCGUAAGGUAUGGUGUAUUGGGGUACGGUAGCCGGUGAUUGCGUACUUUUGGGGCUACAGUACCCCUGGAAAUUUUAAAAUUAAGCUAGAAACUUCUUCUCAAAAGUUUUAAAACCCAAAUUUUGCGUUGAACUUGAAUUUCACAUUAACUUGAAGUUUUGAAACGUUUUUAGUCUAGAAAAAUGUGAAAAAAUUUCGCUCAAAAUUUUUUUGUACAGAUUUGCCGAUUAUCGAUGUUUUUUUCUUGCAGAAAGCCAACGGAGUCGACCCAGCGUUAUACAUGAUCGAGUGGUUUAUGUGCUGCUUUUGCCGAACACUACCCUGGCCUACAGUACUCCGCGUAUGGGACAUGUUCCUGUGCGAGGGCGUCAAGAUUCUGUUCAAAGUGGCGCUGGUGCUACUGAAAUUCGGAAUUGGGACGCCGUCACAGAUUAAACAGUACCCCGAUAUGCCUGCAAUUGUGACCCGGUUACGGAAUUUACCUGUAGAAAUUAUGGAGGAAGAGUUCUUGGUGCAAAAG